RNAcentral lists this non-coding RNA (29 nucleotides) under Rattus norvegicus (Norway rat). The record is from RNAcentral. Lineage: Eukaryota; Metazoa; Chordata; Mammalia; Rodentia; Muridae.
UUGAAGACAAGUAGAAAUGAUGAAGCCUA